Molecule: ribosomal RNA, 247 nt
Filed under: uncultured bacterium
Lineage: Bacteria
Description: partial 16S ribosomal RNA
Rfam family: Bacterial small subunit ribosomal RNA
Source: RNAcentral
ACACGUAGGAGGCAAGCGUUAUUCGGAUUUACUGGGCGUAAAGCGCGUGCAGGCGGUUUGGUAAGUUGGAUGUGAAAGCUCCCGGCCUAACUGGGAGAGGUCGUUCAAUACUACCAGACUAGAGGAUGGGAGAGGGAGGUGGAAUUCCGGGUGUAGUGGUGAAAUGCGUAGAUAUGCGGAGGAACACCAGUGGCGAAAGCGGCCUCCUGGCCCAUUUCUGACGCUCAGACACGAAAGCUAAGGUAGC